GUAUUUAUUUUUGGCUCUCUAGCAAUAGGGGGCCAAAAGAUUUGAGGUGUCUCCUCUACCUAGUAGAGAGAGUACCUUUAAUAGUAUAGCCUCUUUUGUGGUAAAUUACUCUGCAGAACAGUAUUUGAAUGGAACUUUGUUUCUUUGAUGCCCAAUAUGCAGAUUGCCUAUAAAAAGGGGGUCCAUAACUCGAAAGUAACCCAGUUACUUGAA
This 213-nucleotide unclassified non-coding RNA is filed under the name uncultured fungus. RNAcentral describes it as "sequence contains ITS2". The record is from RNAcentral. Lineage: Eukaryota; Fungi.